RNAcentral lists this ribosomal RNA (472 nucleotides) under uncultured bacterium. Its description in RNAcentral is "bacterial SSU rRNA". It matches the Rfam family "Bacterial small subunit ribosomal RNA", at positions 413 to 895 of the family's 1533-position model. The record is from RNAcentral.
GGCCUUCGGGUUGUCAACCUCUUUUAGCAGGGAAGAAGCGAAAGUGACGGUACCUGCAGAAAAAGCGCCGGCUAACUACGUGCCAGCAGCCGCGGUAAUACGUAGGGCGCAAGCGUUAUCCGGAAUUAUUGGGCGUAAAGAGCUCGUAGGCGGUUUGUCGCGUCUGCUGUGAAAUCCCGAGGCUCAACCUCGGGCCUGCAGUGGGUACGGGCAGACUAGAGUGCGGUAGGGGAGAUUGGAAUUCCUGGUGUAGCGGUGGAAUGCGCAGAUAUCAGGAGGAACACCGAUGGCGAAGGCAGAUCUCUGGGCCGUAACUGACGCUGAGGAGCGAAAGGGUGGGGAGCAAACAGGCUUAGAUACCCUGGUAGUCCACCCCGUAAACGUUGGGAACUAGUUGUGGGGACCAUUCCACGGUUUCCGUGACGCAGCUAACGCAUUAAGUUCCCCGCCUGGGGAGUACGGCCGCAAGGCU